AAUUCGACAUCUGAAUGAAUUGGUUCUUCACCUUAUAUGCAAGUCACUGAGAAAAUCCGACAACCUAAUAUUUUUAGCUAUAACAGUGAGACCAUCUUCAUUCCCAAUAUGACGCAGAGCUAUCUCUUCCAACCGGCCAUCCCGAUGAGCAUGCUUGUAAAAACAACUGGAUCCAAAAGGGCAGUUCCCAUUUCCAAAGUUAAAGUGCUUGCAAUCUAUUGAUCGCAGCCUUGACUUGUAGCUAUCAACAAUCUCUUGCUUUUCUUCCUUCGAAGAAUACCAAAUGACACUUGGAAUCACAAAGUAUGACAACUUCCUACAAAUUGG
RNAcentral lists this unclassified non-coding RNA (327 nucleotides) under Hevea brasiliensis (rubber tree). Lineage: Eukaryota; Viridiplantae; Streptophyta; Magnoliopsida; Malpighiales; Euphorbiaceae. The record is from RNAcentral.